GCCGGGUGUGGUGAUGUAUGCCUGUAAUCCCAGCUACUCGGGAGGCUGAGGCAGGAGAAUCACUUGAACCCAGGAGGUCGAGGUUGUAGUGAGCCCAGAUCGUGCCACUGUACCCCAGCCUGGGCAACAGAGUGAGACUCUGUCUCAA
Molecule: unclassified non-coding RNA, 148 nt
Organism: Macaca fascicularis (crab-eating macaque)
Lineage: Eukaryota; Metazoa; Chordata; Mammalia; Primates; Cercopithecidae
Rfam family: Metazoan signal recognition particle RNA
About the family: The signal recognition particle (SRP) is a universally conserved ribonucleoprotein. It is involved in the co-translational targeting of proteins to membranes.
Source: Ensembl